CUUAAAUAAUCUGAAGGGACGAUAAGACCCUAUAAAACUUUAUAUUGAAAAGUGGUAGGUAUGAUUUGUUUAAGGGUUAUUAUUUUAAAGUAUUUGGUUGGGGUGACAAAAAUAAAAWGRAAAGUAACUGUUUUUUUUUUUUCCAUUAAGGUUGGGUUUAUGGUUCCUAAAAGGGAUUAAAGAUUAAGUUACUUUAGGGAUAACAGCGUAAUUUUCUUUAAGAGUUCUUAUCGAUAAGAAAGUUUGCGACCUCGAUGUUGAAUUAAAGGUUCUUUAUGGAGUAGAGACUAUAAAAGAAGGUCUGUUCG
RNAcentral lists this ribosomal RNA (308 nucleotides) under Cambarus deweesae. RNAcentral describes it as "partial large subunit ribosomal RNA". The stretch from base 199 to 308 matches the Rfam family "Bacterial large subunit ribosomal RNA", at positions 2473 to 2583 of the family's 2925-position model. The record is from RNAcentral. Lineage: Eukaryota; Metazoa; Arthropoda; Malacostraca; Decapoda; Cambaridae.